Molecule: ribosomal RNA, 377 nt
Filed under: uncultured bacterium
Lineage: Bacteria
Description: bacterial SSU rRNA
Rfam family: Bacterial small subunit ribosomal RNA
Source: RNAcentral
UAAUACAGAGGUCCCAAGCGUUGUUCGGAUUCACUGGGCGUAAAGGGUGCGUAGGUGGUGAGGUAAGUCGGAUGUGAAAGCUCCGAGCUCAACUCGGAAAUGGCAUUGGAAACUACCUUGCUCGAGGGUUUGAGGGGGGACUGGAAUACUUGGUGUAGCAGUGAAAUGCGUAGAUAUCAAGUAGAACACCAGUGGCGAAGGCGAGUCCCUGGAAAACUCCUGACACUGAGGCACGAAAGCUAGGGGAGCAAACAGGAUUAGAUACCCUGGUAGUCCUAGCCGUAAACGGUGCGUAUUUGCUGUAAAAGGAAUCGACCCCUUUUGUGGCGUAGCCAACGCGUUAAAUACGCCGCCUGGGAAGUACGGUCGCAAGAUUA